Molecule: long non-coding RNA, 867 nt
Filed under: Lynx canadensis (Canada lynx)
Lineage: Eukaryota; Metazoa; Chordata; Mammalia; Carnivora; Felidae
Description: lncRNA (ENSLCNG00005016132.1)
Source: RNAcentral
CCAGGCUCUGAGCCAUCAGCCCAGAGCCUGACGCGGGGCUCAAACUCAUGGACCGUGAGAUUGUGACCUGAGCUGAAGUCGGACGCUUAACCGACUGCGCCACCCAGGCGCCCCGAGACACAUCUAAUAAUAACUUCCUCUAAACAGCAGAGUCUGAAUUCAAACCCAGAACAUCCAACAUCAUCGUAAUCUCUACUAAUAGAGGUUUUAUGCCCCUUCCUUCUGGGACAUGCUGAAGAAAAGUCCAUCAAAAUGACCACAGAACACACUGUGUUUGGCUAAAACUAACUGAGCAAGGGACUUAUGCCAAAUGCUUUCAUCUGAGCAAGAACAGGGAAAGAAGGUAUUGUUUUCACCAUUUAAUAGAGGCAGAAAGGCCCACGCCCAAGGACUUCACCACUCACAGUGAUGAGAAUCUACAUAGGAAAUGAGAACUCAGUUUACUAGCAGAUCCUCAAGCUGGGAUAUUGUUUCCUCUGCAACUACACCCCUGCCUGUUCCACUCCCCGCCUCACUCGUGCUGCCCGAGGAACACCGAGCCUUCACUCCUCACCGCUUAUGUUUGAUCAUUCAAUGACUUUUACAGAUGAAUGCAAACACAUCAGAAUAGAACACUGAACCGGACACGCAAACCGUGGAGGGGACUCCAUCCUUUCUGCAGGGCCGAGGAAAAAAUCUUGCCAGCAGAGGUCACUGACGCUCCAGUUUGCGAUUUAGCAGCAGCCCAGGCAGGAGGCCAAUCCCGGUUUUCCGUGUGCCAACAAACUCCCUUUGUGCCGAUUAGAACUACACUCCCGUGCCCCCUGGGGUGGAAGAGAUGAGGUAAGUGUUCUUGGAGCCACUUCUGCCCUCUGAUACCCUUAGGGU